Marmota monax (woodchuck) is the source of this 12907-nucleotide long non-coding RNA. RefSeq lists it as uncharacterized. The record is from RefSeq and is a predicted model, not a curated record. NCBI's taxonomy places the organism in Eukaryota, Metazoa, Chordata, Mammalia, Rodentia, Sciuridae. The transcript has 3 exons.
CGCGUCGCCUCCGCGCGCUGCACUGCGGCGCAGUGUCCUCGGCGCUCCGCUGUUCGCGGCCUUUUCUGUGCCUCCCCAGGUCCGGGCGCGGCCUCUGCUGCGCGGCCUCCUCAGCGCCCGGACAGGUCGGUGCGCGGUCUCUUCUGCCCUCGGACAGGUCGGUGCGCGGUCCCCGCUGCGCGGCCUCUUCUGCCUUUGGACAGUGGCAGUGCGAUCUUGGCUGCGUGGCCUCCGGUGCGUGGCAUCCACUACGUGGCCUCUUUGGCCCUCGUAUGCGUUGGUGCGCGGCCUCCGCUGUGCAACCUCUUUGGCCCUCGGAUGCGUUGGUGCGCGGCCUCCGCUGCGCGGUCUCUUUGGCCCUCGGACUGGUUGGAGCGCGGCCGCCGAUGCACUGGGAUCCGAUCGCGGCAAGGGACGGCGAUCGCCAGCGGCGCGGAGCCGGUCCCCAGCACCCCACCUUGGACCACCCACCUGGCGGUGGAUGAAGACCACAGAGCCCAGGAGCCUCCAGGUGCCUCCCUGGCGAUCCACAUGCAGCAUCCGGAGGAUCUGGAGGAAGCGGAUACCCCUGGGAAGGAGAGAGCAGGACUGCGAGGACCACAGCUGUCCCGGGGGCACCUGGGCCCAGGGGACAGUGGAUGGGAAGGUCACAAUUCCGGGGAAAACCCAACACCAUCAUGUCAACUGGGCAAUUCCAGCCAGGUCUGCACCCGAAGACAGGAAGUAGGGCUGAGGAGACGCUGCGUGGCCGUGGCCACAUCAGCCCCGGGUGAGCGGAAGGCCGUCCACCCCCUCAGCGGAGAGACAUGCAGAUGCAGGCCAUGACAGGCAUUCACCUUGGGGACACUGCUCAGGCAGGCAGGCAGGCCGGGCACCGAGGACAAGCAGUGUGUGUCUCUAGCCUGAGGCCCCACGUCACCAGGUAGGAGGGAGGGAGAGGGCAGAGAGCAGGAGUCGGCGUUUGACGGAACAAGGCCAGUUUGGGAAGAUGAGGAUGUUCUGGGGGUGGGUGACGGUGACAGCGCACAGCAGGGUGAUCGUGCCCAGUGCCCUGGACCAUGUGCCUAACCACCGUCCCGAUGGGGAAUCUUAGGUCGUGUCUGUCUUAACCACAGUUUAAAAAUGAAAGCAAGCGGGGGCCUGGGGGAGGGAGGAGCGUGGCUGAAGGCACCGGGGUCCCCCUGGGUGGUGGGAGCCCUCCGGAGCUGGACCAGGUUUGUGCAGCCCUGUGGCUAGAAUGCCACCAGCCACCAAGUGCAGCAGUGCAUGCUGGGACACGUGGGGUGCACCACAGCGAGGUCCUGCCCUGCAGCCUGGCAGCCCCUUGGGUUGGGUGUCCUCUGGUCCUCUAGGCCACCAGCAGCCACAGUAUGUGGCCCCAGAGAGUCAGACAGCCAGGACCCAGCUGCCAGCUCGUGGGUCUGGACACUGUGAGGAGAGCCCUGCAGGCCACUGUCAUGCAGAGGGCAGUGAGGUGGCCGGCAGGGAGGCUGCGUCCCCUCUGGGAGGGACAACGAAGGAAGCUCACAGAGGCGUCUCUGAUGUCACCGUCAUGUCAUCUCAUAAGGAGAAGUUAAUUUUAAAGAGAGCGAAACAUUAACGACUGAGGAUUGAGGACUGGGCCUUACAGAGGGGUGGUCAGGGCAGGAAGGCCCAGAGAGUGAGAGGGAGCGGAGGCCUGGCCAGCCUCUCUGGAGGCCCUGUGAAUGCUGAACAGGGCAGACUUAGGGAAGCAGGCCUGCGAGACCCUUGGCUGGAGCUCCUGGCACAGGCCGGGGGGCUGUGGGGUCCUGGGGUUAGGGUGUUGCCCUCCUAAGCCUGGGGGCUUCAAUGAGCGGGGGAUAAUGGUCCCUGUAGCAGAGACCAGCCAGUGGGCUUCAGGGCCAGCUGUUCCAACUCAAUGUGGGCCCCGUAAGCCACAGCAGAGCCAGCCUCGGCGUCCCUGGGAGGGUCAGCUGGCCAGGGCGCGACGCAGGCAUGCAGGCUGCUCAAAGCGCCCUUUGUCCCAGGGCCUGCCUGUGGCCAGCUGCUCCCAGCCGCCAGCCUAUGUGGAGGGCUCCUGGGCCCCGGGUGACAUGUGCUGGGCACAGCUGGAGCCCUCCAGCCACGCUGCCGCCGGCCCUGGGAGCACCCUCCCCCAUCAGAGCAGCCCUGGCCUGGGGCAGGUGCCAUGCUCCCCACCCCACCCCCCAUCUGGUCAGGUGAGACACUGGGUGCUGGCACUCUGAGGAGGCAGCGAGGACGGCAGGUCAGUGCAGAGGACAGAGCCAGGACCUAGGAGAGACUCCCUGCCUGCCCAGCCCCCCUGUCCAGUGUCCCUCUGCCUGCCCCGGGGCCCUCCUGUCCAGUGUCCCCCAGCCUGCCCCGGGCCCUCCUGUCCAGUGUCCCCCUGCCUGCCCCGGGCCCUCCUGUCCAGUGUCCCCCUGCCUGCCCAGCCCUCUCUUGUCCAGUGUCCCCCUGCCUGCCCCGGGCCCUCCUGUCCAGUGUCCCCCUGCCUGCCCCGGCCCCUCCUGUCCAGUGUCCCCCUGCCUGCCCCGGCCCCUCCUGUCCAGUGUCCCCCUGCCUGCCCCGGCCCCUCCUGUCCAGUGUCCCCCUGCCUGCCCCGGGCCCUCCUGCCCAGUGUCCCCCUGCCUGCCCCGGCCCCUCCUGUCCAGUGUCCCCCUGCCUGCCCCGGGCCCUCCUGUCCAGUGUCCCCCUGCCUGCCCCGGCCCCUCCUGUCCAGUGUCCCCCUGCCUGCCCUGGCCCCUCCUGUCCAGUGUCCCCUGCCUGCCCUGGCCCCUCCUGUCCAGUGUCCUCUCCCUGCCCCGGGCCCUCCUGUCCAGUGUCCCCCUGCCUGCCCCGGCCCCUCCUGUCCAGUGUCCCCCUGCCUGCCCUGGCCCCUCCUGCCCAGUGUCCCCCUGCCUGCCCAGCCCUCUCUUGUCCAGUGCCUCCUGGUCUGUGAGCACAGCCAGGAGGCUGGGCCGGAGCCUGCCCACAUGGUAGUGGAACCUGCUGUGGUUCCGUGCUCCCUUGGGCCCCACCGAAAGCGCAUCCACGGCCUGCAGGCUCGGCCCUCCACACCUGGGUGCCCAAGGUGUCCUGAAACGGGCCAGCUUCCUUGGAAGGCAGGGCAUUCAGACCCUCUGCCCCAGGGAGUCCUAGCAGGAGAAGACGAGGCCUCUGAGAAGCCGACCACUGGCUAGCUGGCCAUCUGAGUGCCAAGAGCCCCGGGACAGUGGCCUUCCCCAGGAGGGGGUUCUGGAUGCCACCAGCCAUGCAUCAGCGGUAGCUCUGUGACCCCACCACGAGGGCAGUACAGAUCUGGGGCAACCCUGAGCAGCACAGAGCCACUUUCCCCCGAGAACUAGCCCCACCUGCCAGCUGUCCAGGCGGCCAUUCUCCACACUGAGCAGGAGAGGCCACAAGGUUUGCUUGGUCACCAUGGGGACAGGCGUUCCCACCCACCCAGUAGCCGGGCCUUUGAGUGUGUGACAGCUGUCCUCUGGUCCUCUCCCAGGCCCCCUCCAGCAGGUGGCAUGAGGCUCAUGUCCACGGUGGCUCUCGUGGAGCUCACAAGGCCAAGGUCACAGACACGGCCUGUAGGGCUAGGUGGCCCCUGCCCUGUGUUCCACACCCAGGCAGCUCUGGGUGCUGGGUCCAGGUCUCCCUGCCCCUCCCUCUGGCCUAUGGGAGCCACGUCCAAAGACCUCACUACACUCUCCAGGCCUAGUGGCCAUCCCAGCCAGAAGGCAGCCUUGCAGAAUGACGGAAGUGCAGUGUGCUGCCCAAGGGCGCCCCUUGAGCAAACCCCACCUGCAGGCCGGGGCUUGGGUGGUCCCUUCUGCCAGCUCAGGAGCUCGGCUCCAGGCCUCCUCCUCAUCUGUCAUUUCCAGUGCCUGUCACUCAUGCACCACAGAUGGGUCAGAGCAGGAGGCGGCCGGGGUGGCCAGCCCUGUGUGUGCAUAGUGGGGGGCAUCUCUGGGCAGAAAGGGCCAAGACAAGACUCAGGCCACACCCGUGGGCCCAGCAUAUUCCUGGACCCAUUAUCAGGGCCAAAUGCUUCCCAGGAUCGCAGGCUUCUGGGCCCAGCCUCCUGAAUAAAGGCUGCCCACCCAGGUGGGGAGAAGGCCCCUCGGUGACUUUAACUCCACAUGUGCUGCCGGUGCCUCGUGGAGGCCGACUAGAGUUACAUGCAUUUCAGGUGGUUUAACGAGGUGCCUCCAGCCCUGGGACCCUGCUCGCUGUGAGCUAGCGAGGUGGGGCUGCCCACGCACUGCCCGUACCUUCCUCCCGGCCUGGGUGUUCUCGAGGUCAGGAGGCAGACAGGGCUUAGCAGCCAGCGACACCUAAUGGGGUGGAGGAGGCAGACGGUGCUGAGAAGAGGCCCAUAGGCCAGCCCGCUGACCCCGCCCCAAAGUGGGCCCCCAGAGAUCCCAAACAAGCAACCGCAGAGGGAUGCCCGGCCCAGCACACAAACCAAGCCAUGGCCUCAGAGGGCAGGCCCCAGCAGGCUCCACGAGGGGGCACACAGGCACAGGCGCACACGCCUCACUACGGCCGUAUGAGGGGUGAAGGGCACCCUCUGCGGAGUUGCCCACGUCACCAAGCCCAGCAGGCACUGUGGGUGAUGGCAGGGGAUUGGCAUCAGCGCUGGAUGGGGCAGAGACCAAGGGCCUUCCGCGCUGCAUGGUUUAGGGCGCAGCCACCUCGCCACGUCCCCCACGUCACCUUUCUCCUCGAUGUCCAGCACAGCAUUGCUCAACAGCAGAAUAGUCAGCUCCCCCCCCCCAUAUUCUAACAAUGUAUUUAUGAUCACAUUGGGUUUUGAUCAGAGACUCUGUCCAGUUAAAUCUCCCUAUUUUGAGAUGUAUUAAGGUUCUUUAAACAAUUUAACAAAUUGUUUCAAAAAUGUCCUGUGGGCAUAAGGAAACAAAAUGUCUCCAUUAUUGGGAUCCAGAAAUAGAGAUCUGGUCUGAAACAGUCCUGGCACUCUCUGCCACUCCUCCCACGGACUCUGGGCUUUGUGACCAGGGGAAGGCAGGAAGGAUGCACAGAGGAUGUGGCAGUCUCCUGGCACUUCCACCCCCUGGAAGGCUCGCUUCUGAGACCAGCUCUGAGCAAUGCAGUUUCAGAACACUCCUGGGAGAGGGGCCUCGUGCCAGCCCUGCUGGGCUCCUGGGUGCCCUGCUGGGCUCCUAGCUGCCGCCAUGCAGAGCAAGGACAGGUCUGAGCCCAGCUCAGGCUGCAGGCCAGUGACCUGAGCCCUGGUGGCUGUUUGAAGCGGGGUAAAGUAGUGGACAUCUGCUCCACAGCUAGAUCAUAGGAACAGGUUUUUCAGUUUACUGUUAGAGUAGGGAACUGCUCAGGAUCACAACAAUUGAGUCUCUGUCCUUGCUUUGUGUCUGCUAGAAUUGUUCUGCAAGAGGUGCAUAAACCUUCCAUGUUUAACCUGCUCUUCCCUGCACACUGGUUUAGCUUUACACAGUUUACGCUGUUAGUUGCCUUAACAUUUAUAUUUAGGCCUCCCCCCAUAAGUGGUGCCAUCCGUCAUCCACACUCAUCAUAUCUGGACUUCACUGCUGACAAUAAUGUCCUCCCUGUUUUUUUUUCCUGAACUUUAUAUUUGUAUGUAGUUUCUUGGCAUAUUUUUGGCCAUCCUUUUAUUUUUCAAUAGUCAAUUAUUGGUUGGGUUUGCUUAAUUCUAUUGAACGAUUCAUCUGUUUAAAAUAAAAACCAGGGUGGGGUGUAGCUCAGUGGUAGAGCACUUGCCUAGCAUGUGCAAGGCCCUGGAUUUGAUUCCCAGCUGCAAAACAGAAACAAACAAACCACGGAUACUCCUGACAUUCUCUGUCUUUUAACAGAGGAAUUCGGGACAUUUAUAUUUAGUGUACAAUUGGAUUCAUUUGAUCUGAUUCUCUUCCUUUUCACACUUGAGGUGGUACCUGUUUGGUCCUCGCGCUCUUACAUUUCUCAGUCGAUGGGCGCACUGCUGCUCCCUUGGUGUCUCGUGAGUCUGGACAUCUAACUGCACUCUGAGCUCCACUGGUUCUCUACAGAACUGAACAAGCACUUAUCUCAAGUCUGUUUCCACUCCAUUGACUUUCCUGAGGCUUCCUUCCAGCGGAGGAGACUUCCUGUGUGGCUUCUUUCUCCCUGCGCUUCACCUCUGUCACUCUGUGGGGAACAAAGCCAUCUCCAGCACCACCGGACAGCCAGGCAGGCCAGAGGGUCUCUGUCCUGACGUGGAGGCACAAAGCUCAGCAGAGAACGUGUUGGCAAGCAUGGGGUGCAUGUGAGGUGACUCUACACUGGCAGGCAGCCUGGCUGCCCUGAGGUUCGUGGUCCCCUGGGUUCCAUCAUCCUCUGCUGGUCCUGGGUCCGAGCAUCCUCAGCCCCCAGCCAUGGGCUCAGGUCCCUUCCCUAGCUGUGCCUCAAAGUGGGACCAUCUUGGAACAGGGCUGCAGAUGUGCCUAGGUAAGAUGAGGUGGUGGGGACCAGAUUACCGGAACAGGGGGGCCCCCACCCAAGAGGGCUGGUGGCACCGAGGCACAAGGGAUAGUGCCACACAAGCACAAGGGCCAAGGCGAUGUACAAACCAAGGACCAACCAAGACUCGAGCAGCCACCAGCAAGGGGAGGGGUCUGACAGGCUCUCCCUCGUCCUUCGAUGGAGCCACACUGUUAAUGCCCAGUCCUGGACUUCUGACCUGCUGGGGCAGCAAGUGGCACCAGGCUGUCACCCAGGCUAGGCCAGAGAGUGGAUGAAAUUCCUGCAGAUGUCCAGAAAUGCCUCUCCAGGAGGGGUCCCCACUGCGUUGGUGAGGGCACGCUUGCUCCUGUGGGGGUGUGUGACUUGCCACCUCCCCACACCACGGAACUCCUGCUCUGAGGACGGACUCGGGCAUCUGGAGCAUCCAGUCCGAGGACCAGCAGGUCAAAGAUGCGUGUGUGGAAGGGACACUCUGAGCAGUGGGAAAGGCAGAUGGAGCUGCCUGGAGCGCAGGCCCUGAGCCCCGGGUCACACCUGGGGCCUCUGCACACCGGAGCGGCCCCCGUCAGCCACCCUACAACUUGUGGCGGGGGAGCGUGGGCCCCAGGACGGGGAGCUGGCAGGCAGCCUCGCAGUGCUUAGGACAUAGCCUCCCCUUCCCAGCAGGCGAUUCCCACCUCCAGCCGCCAACCAGGGGCACACUUUCAGGCCACUGCUGAUGCCUCCUCACACCAUGGAAGCCUCACCCCCCCCCCAUAGCUCCCUUAAGUGGGGCUGGAACGGAGAGGGGGGUCCCACCUGGAGCCCACUAAAUUGCCCUGGUUAAGAAUUUACGCAGGACUUUAAGUCCAGCAAAGCAGAGAGACUGGGGGGGCAGCGCCUGGCUGUGGUGCCUUGUUCUGGACGGGUCCCUUCAGCAGAGGCCACAGUGCUGUGCCCAGAUCCCUGCGUUUAGGGCUGCAGAGGCCGGGCAGGGGCUGCGCUGGGCGAGUCCGCGGCCCUCUCGCUGUUUACCGAUGGCCGGGUGCCCUGCUCGUUCUGCAGAUCUAGAGAUUUUAAUGACAGGCGGUGAAUUUAGACAGUUUUUUUUUUUCCCCUUUCAGGAAUGUUUUAAGGGAUUGAGAGGAAAUUGUGCACGGAUUUUGCUGUUUUAAGAGCUAAUAUGUGAACAACUUCAGAAGCACGGUGUUGUUUUAGGGCUGCAGUUUACACAGUGAGGGGGACACACAGAGCAGCUUGUCCUGGGCUCUGGAGCCUGUCUCCUUGGGUUCACUCCCUGGGGAAGGGGCUGCCUUCCAGGGGAGCAGAGCUAAAAGGGAGCACCAAGUCUGACCCCAGCUCCCACCACAUCCUGUGCAGGAUGGCUGGGGAGGGACGUGACGCUGGGUGGCCAGCAGCAGGUGGGGUGGCAAGGGGCUAGGAGCAGCUCUGGGGUCCCUGGGGUGGGUCCCCCUGCACAGGGCUGCAUUGUGACUCUUGGGGGCCACAUAGCCCUAAACUGCUCAGGAACGUCUCCCAUGGUGGUCUGUGUCUAUAUUCAGUGGGGGGACGUCUGCUCCUUGGGGACAAACACCUUUGAAGAGACAACCAGAGAGCCUUGCCUGCUAACUCUAGUGCAAAACUCCCCGCCAGAAACUGCAGGCCCGCAGGGCUUCAUGACUCCCCCCAACACCCAAGGGAGAAACGCCAAGCUCCCGCAAGACGGCGGGCGGCCGACACCUCCCAGCUCACUCUGAUGCACAGCCAAGGGCAGGAUGGGCAAACGGAACAGAUGCCACCCUGCGUGGCAUGGGUCACGGUCCACAAGUCUCAGCAGGUCCGGGCGCCUCAGGACCAAGCGGGUCUCAGGGAGGGAUACAGGGUUCCACUCUGAAAUCAGUUGGUGUCGCUCGCUGGGUUCCCAAGCAAGAGGGGAGAGGAGGGCGGCCAUCUCAGCAGGGCAGAGGCCGCUGACAGAGAUCCAACAGCCGUUCUUGAUGGCUCUCUGUUCCCAGCAAACUGGGAAGAAAAGGAAUCUAGCCUGGUCAACAGCACCUGCAGAAGCCCCACAGCUAACGUCACUCCCACGGAAAGAGCAGUGCUCUGCCCUCCACGCCAGCAGCAGGAAGGGACAUCUGCUCUCUCCUCACCGCCGAGAGUGGAGCGGGAGGCCUCGCCAGUGCUGUCAGGGAGAAACAAGAAAUAAAAAGCAUAUGGAUUGGAAAGGAAAAAAUAAGAUUAACUUUAUUUGGGACAACAUGAUCGUCUCCAUAGAAAAUCCUAAAGAAUCUACAAAAAACAAACAAAAACAAAUGAACAGAAAUCCCUCUAGAGCUAAUUAGGUUAGCAAAGACACAGGACACAAGGUCAAUAUGAAAAAAUCAGCUGUACUUCUACAUCCCAGCAGCCAACAGUCCAAAAAUGGGAUGGAGAAAAGGCGUCACUUAAGCCGCUUCACAAGUACAAAGCACUUAGUGACAUAUCUAGCAAGUUCUGUGUAAUGGGUCCCACAAGCUACACGGCAUUCCAGGUAUAUGGUCGCAUGUUCCCGGUCAGAAAACUUGGGGAACGCCGGAGCCCGUCUCCCCACCAGUGCAAGGCCGUCGGAAUCCCAGCAGGGUUUCAUUUUUUUCAUGGAAACCGACGGCUGAUUGCAAGAUUUACAUGAGCAUGUGAAGCCUGGCAGGCAUCACACUUCUGAAAUGAGCAAACUUGGAGGAUUAACAGGACCUGAUUUCAAGGCUUAGCAUAAAAGUCACAGUAAUCAGGACAGUGCUUUGCUGGCAGGACAGAUCACAAAGUCCAGAAAUCGGACCCACACACACGGCCAACUGAUUUUCAUCAAAGGUGCCAAAGUAAUUCCAUGGAAAGAAGUUGCUGGGAAGACGGGGUAACCACAUGCAGAAAGACUUGACCUCGAUCCGUGCCUGUCACCGUACAUAAGAUCAGACUUGAAAUGAAUCGCAGAUCUAAACAAGAAAUGUGAAACUGUAGGGUUUUUACAGAAAACAGGAGAGAAGGCUUUGUAACCUUGGAUUAGGCAACUAUUUCUUAGAACACAAAAAAAUAUGAACCUUACAGGGGGAAAAAAAAAGCCUUGAUGAAUUGGACAUCAUCAAAAUUAAAAACUGCUGCUCGUUUGAAAGAUCCUGUUGGGAAAAUGCAGAGAUGGAGAUUGGGAGGAAAUAUCCACAAACCGCAGAUCUACAAAGACUCGCGUCGACACCGCGGCCCCGGCUCCCCCAGCUCAGAACCAGGAAGGCAGCACCCCGCGGUUGGGCUCUGAGUGCCUGGUGGACCCGUGAACGGCACGUGUGCCAGUUAGUCCCCGGGGUGCAGAGGGAGCCCCCACACGAGGGCCGAGACUCAAGACGCAGACAACACUCAGUGCUGGGGAGAGUGUAGCCGCCUCGGCGCCCGCUCGCAGGCCGCCGGCGAGGGCACGGCGCCCACAGCCUCUGCGCAGGCAGCUUGGCAGUUCAUCGGGACGGGAAGCGGCCUGGCCACAGGAUCCAGCAGCCCCGCUCCCAGGCCCCGGCCCAGGAGGAAUGAAGACAUGAUCACUCCAAGACCUGUGCGCACAUCCUGCAGCCCUCGUCACGACAGCUGGACGGGACGGCUCAAGUGUCUGUCCGCCUGUGAACGGAUAAACAAACUGUGGUACACUUUAUCCUCUCCAAACAAAGGAAACAAACUACUGAACGCAGACCGUGACACAGAGGAGCCCCACACGAGCCGCCGUGCCAAGGGGUGGGAGCCAGGCUCGGGGUGCACGCGGCAGAUUCCAACCUCAUGACGCCGGAGAGGCGGCGGGCCGCGCCGCCGAGUUCCCUGGUGCUAGGCGCCCCCGGGCGACGGCACUGUCUCUCCCUGGGACCCAGGGGGCUGACAGCUGCAUGCAUUUGCCAGAACCCCUCGAACUCGACAGGUAUCGAGGGGAGAAUGGUCGACAGCCCCGAGCCCCAAACAGGAAGCAAUUAGGAAAUCUUAGACCCACCUAAGACACACACACACACACACACGUGCUCCGGUUGUUUCUUAAAAGAAGUUGUUAAGAGUCGCUAAGUCGAAGAUAUGGGUUUUGGAGAUUAAGAAAAAAAAAAGCAACCCCAAGACACCGAGCCCCCGUCUCCCCCGGGUCCUUCCCAGAAGCUCCUGGCCUUCCCUGGACCGCCCUCGGGGCCACCAGGCUCAUGGCCCCGGAGCCGCCUCCCUGCCUGUUCCUGGGGACCUGUGAGGGGUGUUGGCUAUGUCCCCCGGGCCCGUCCCAGCAUGCUGACCAGGCAAGUGUGUCCCAGGCCCUCCGAGGGGGUGGUGGCAGCUCAGCCCUGCCACUUCCUGCUGCCCCCGGCCCCCGGCUCAGCUGCUCAGGUGACUGCCCAGUCUUCACCCUGUCCACCCCUCCUGCCAUCCCCUUUAACCCACAUGACCUGGGGAGGGACGCCAGGCCGGGGGCAGGCAGAGGCCGUGGCGUGGAAGGACUCCAGCCAGGGUAUGGUGGCCUUCCCCCAGAAGACCAGCACCACCCGGCCAGGCCAGCAGGGUCCCUCCUGUGGGACUGAACGGCGACAGGAACCGCCUGGAGACAGUGAGGGCACAGGGAUGACAGGGUGGAGGCUCGGCCUCACUGCCGGAGUGACGUCCGCGCCCCAGCCUGAUGUCCCUGGCCCUUGACAUGCCACGCUCGUCAACUUCGACUCCAAGUCACCGUCGAGGACCCGGGAACAAGGCCACAGCCAGUCAGCCUGCCUGGGUGGGGGCUCCAUGGCUCCAGCUCAGGGCUGUCCUCCCAGGGCCUGUCCGCCCCUCCCUGAGGUCCGCAGGCUUCCCUGCCUCCUAGCAUCGAGCCCAGGGCCCUGGCCGAGGUGUGUCCCAGGGCUCUGGGGGCACCAGCCAUGGGGGACCUGUGAGCGGCAGCUCAGCCCUGCCACUUCCCUGCUGCCCUCGGCGGCUCCCCAGGUGGCCUCCCCACCUCCCCGUGCCAUUCCAUCCAACCUACAGCCACCAGGGAGGGGCACUGGUGAGCGGGGGACACAGAUGCUGGGUCCUGCUCCAUGGGCUCAGGCUGGGGGGCAGGGGUCACAGGCAGGGCCAAAAGCCCCGACUCCACAGGGCCACCCACCCCAGGCGGCACAGGAAAGGGGUGGGCGAAGCUUCACAGGCACUGGGGUCCUACGCCCAGGGAAGGGCCACACAGCACACAGCUGCCCGUGUUCCAUCCCAGCUACUCUCCCGGCUGCGCUGUGGGGAGCAGUUCCUGGAGACGCCCUGGACUUGGGCUGUUGCCAAGUUCUCUUUGAGCUGGACCCACCUCGCCAAGACCCCAGUAAACAGCACUUAGCCUCCAUCAGGCUUCCAAGGCACCCAAGGGCAUAGGUCAAACUGAGGCCCAAGAUGCCCCCAGCAGGCCAGAGGGGAGGCGUGGGAUUCCAGUGAAGGCCAGCCAAGGAGAGGGGCCCAGCCCAGUGCCCCUUGAGGCUGGGAAGCCUCCUUCCCAGCUUCCUCUCUCCCCCAGGCUCAUGUGGCACAGCUGGACAGUGUGGCCUGCUGACAGAGGGCCACCACACUGUUGGGGACCCAGAGCUUCCAGACCAACACAGUCACCAGAAUCUGCCCCCUGGGCCUGCUUCCUCAGAGGAAGUGCCGUGGCACUGACCCGGAGCCAGCCCGAGACGAAGAAACCAGGUCCUGCCCGGGCGCCCACACCUGUCACCAAACAUCCUCUAAAGUGCUGUUUUUCCAACCCGAGCAGCUCAGGGGCGGGGGGUGCGAGCGGGAGACAGGGCCCCUUUGUUCACUGCCACCGUGUCCUUGCUUUGCCCCGGGAUGGAGGCAUCCCCCUCAGCAAGUCCAUGUGAGCGUGCACACGUGCAGCUCCCGCCCAGCACCCCACGCACACGCCAUCACGCGUGUGUGCGCCCAGGAGCACGGUGCAGGCUGCCCCAGGGCGCUGUCCCCAGCCUCCCCACCCCCACACCUCUGGACCCGCUCAGGAGACUCCCCUAGCGAGCGAGCGGCAGCAGACGCGCCCACCCUCCCUGGGUUGCCAUCUUGGUGCAGAUCCGUUUCUCUGUUUGUUGUGUUUUCUUGAGAAACAAAAUCUGGCAGAAUCAGCAAAAGACCUUGGCCCACCUCCCUGGAAGAGCUGGGUCUGAGGUGUGCGUCCUGCCUCCAGCUCCCCCAGGUCCAGGCUGCUGGACCUCAGAAGAGGGGUGCCGAACCCUGGUGGCGGAUGCAGGGCCCCUGCUCCGGCACCAAAACCGGAGCUGGAAAGCAGCCCAGCCCCUCUUCCUCCUGGACCCCCCCCCACUGCAGUAUCUGGUCCUUCACAUUCCCAGCGAGACCCCAGACACCUGCAGAGGACACACUGCACCCCGUCCUUGUCACAUUCUUAACCAGGUUUACACAGCAGCACUUACACCAUUGUAAUAAUGUACAGAAAUAAAACGACUCCAACUGC